This is a non-coding RNA of Taeniopygia guttata (zebra finch), 586 nucleotides long. The record is from RefSeq and is a predicted model, not a curated record. Lineage: Eukaryota; Metazoa; Chordata; Aves; Passeriformes; Estrildidae.
UAAAGCACAGAAGGGAGAAAGGAUGGGGAGGCAAUCUUAGAUAUUUCUCCUCCCCUUUUGUUGUCCCCCUCCCCUUUCCCGAUAUUGAUAUUGCUCUGCUUUUUGAUCUCUGCACUUCUUUGUUUUGGCUUCACAGGUAUCAAGGGAAAAUGGCUAGCAGUGAGUUCUGUAGCUUUUCCUGCCCUACAGCCCCUCUGGCUUAGCCAGCUGGAUCACACUGAAUUAGUCAAGUACUUCAUUAUCUCCCUUCUCUGCACAUUUAGCUCCAGCCCCCACGCUCUUUAGCGGGAACAAACCCUUCCACAGCCAUACCAACCUCGGGGGUCUCUGAGCACUUCUCCACCUGCCUGGGAAGGACAGACAGCCUCUCCCAGCUGCCCACAGGUGGAAGCAGGCUGCGAGCCCUCCAUGCUGGUAAGUGCAAGGAUUAUAGAACAGCAAGAAAGCAAAUUGCUACAGUUAAAGAAAGAAAACAGCAGGACUAACGCGUUUUAGUAGGGGUACGUACACCGAGUCUCAGCAAUCUUUAUACUCUUUGUGAACAGCAGUUCUUUAAGAGCUUUACACCCAAUAAAAUUUAAACUUU